AGGCCAUCUCCCUUCCAUGCAUGGACAUCCCUUGGUGAUGAAGACACCAGCUGGAUGUCCUAGAAUUCAACUCAGUUCUGGCACUAUCUACCUGGAGAUAGCAUCAGAUCCCACAGGAAAUUCCAAGGGAUUUAGGAGCUCUGUACCAGGAAUGAGAUGAAGACCAAAAAGGUAUUUCUUAUUAUAAACCACAAUAUCACAAGGGUAUAAUAGUGGGACAUAACACCAGAGUGGAAGCUUGGGGACCAACUCCCCUUUACCUCAGCACUCCCAGGAAAAGCAGGAAAGACAAGGGAAAUGUCAAUGCAAAUAAUAAUCAAUCUAUAAAUCAAAACUGGGGUGAGUUUAUUGUAUGAGCCAGUCUGAGGACUAUAUAGGCUGGAAGAACGACCUUUGCCAAGGAAGGAAGCACUCCGAAGAAGCAGGGUGUACAGAGUGGUUACAUACCGUUUUGGAAGAAGGAACAUAUAUCAACUAUGACAGAAAUAUCUUUUUUUACUACGGUCACAAGAUGUUUUUCUAGCCCAGCAAGUCAGCGGUCACAAGAUAUACAUAGUGGGUCAGUUUGACUCAGUUUCUGGGAAGAAAUGCUUAUCUUUAAAGAAAUGCUGAUAUGGGGAGAGGCAUACAUCCCUAUCUUUAGAGGCAUCAUUCUUUGCUUUGGGACAUUAUAACUGUUUAAAGCCAAUGUACCAUGAGUGCUGGACAGGCCACAUCAGGCCAUUCUGAAAAACAAGGUCAGGCCUAACUAGUUUUCAACCAAAUGGGUUCCUCAUAUACCUCAAUAUAUUAACUUAUUCCUGUUGAUUUUCGUUGCUUCCUCAGAACAAACAGUGAGGGGAGGCCAUAAAUCUUCACUGCAAAUGCCCUGCUAGUCUUGGGGUUUUGAGUAGUACUGGUCAGGAGGCCAAGUAUUCCCAGAUGUUCUUGGUUAAGGAUGCAGGCUGGGACUAGGGUAAAGUGAGUGAGGCCUCACUUUGGGUGCAAAAUUUAAGGGGGAACGGAAAACUUGGUGAUCAAGACAAUUUUUUUUUUUUUUUGGUGUGAAAGAUUGCCCUGAGUGAACAUCUAUUCCCCAUCUUCCUCUUUUUUCUUUUUGGCUCGAGGAAUAUUGUCGCUGAGCUAACGUCCAUGCCAAUUUUCCUCUAUUUUGUACAUGGGACACCGCCACAGCAUGGCUUGAUGAGCAGUGUGUAGGUCCACACCUGGGAUCCAAACCCACAAACCUAGGGCCGCUGACGCCAGAGCACACAAACUUAACCACUACGCCACAGGCCUGGCUCCAAGACAAAAACUUUUAAUGCAAUAUUUCAAAUACUUAAAAUUAGUGCAAAAAGUCAUCAUAAAUAAAAUAUCAAAAUUUUAAACAAAGACAGGAUCCACAACACUGCCAUGCUGAACCCUAUUAGAGUCUGAGGCAAAAGGAAAAUUCAGUGAUACCCGUCCUGCCUUUGUUUAAAAUGUUGUUAUGUUCAUCGUGGAUAUUUUGCAUUAGAUUUGACUGUUUUAAAUGUUGCAUUAAAAUAUUUUUCCAUCUUCGUUACUGAGUUUUUGGUGCCCCCUUAAAUUUAGCACACAGGAAGGGUACCUCAAGCAGAGAGAAGCGUUCAAGAUCUUACACCUUGUUCCCUCAUCCUCAGCACACUCCUGUGAAAGGACUUCAGUCUAAAAUGGACCUGGAGGAUAUAGAGUGGAGAAUUUCGUGCAUGUGCCCUCAGGAAAAUGAAACUUAAGAACUGAGAGACUGAUUCCCCAUAAACGCCUGAUCUAUAGAAAACAGGAACUUGUCUCCUGACCGAUGAACAUCCGCCAAGGAUCUCUCCCCGUCCUCAAGCCAAUGAACUUACUGCUUGGACUCUGACUUCCCCACUCUUUGCACUUCUCGCCCAUAAAUAUAACCAACCCCAAACCUCCAAUGGACUUGCCUGUAGCUUGCUACAGUUUGUGUUUCUCAAAUUGCAAUCCUCUGCUAUUCCCGAAUAAACUCACAUUCUGCUAAUUCAA
Molecule: long non-coding RNA, 2004 nt
Organism: Equus caballus (horse)
Lineage: Eukaryota; Metazoa; Chordata; Mammalia; Perissodactyla; Equidae
Source: Ensembl